GUUAAUAUAGUUUCAAAAAAUAUUAGACUGUGGCUCUAAAGACAGGAGUUAAAAAUCUCCUUAUUAACC
RNAcentral lists this transfer RNA (69 nucleotides) under Testudo graeca ibera. Its description in RNAcentral is "transfer RNA-His". It matches the Rfam family "tRNA". From Rfam's summary of the family: Transfer RNA (tRNA) molecules are approximately 80 nucleotides in length. The record is from RNAcentral. Lineage: Eukaryota; Metazoa; Chordata; Testudines; Testudinidae.